Molecule: small nuclear RNA, 105 nt
Organism: Chiloscyllium plagiosum (whitespotted bambooshark)
Lineage: Eukaryota; Metazoa; Chordata; Chondrichthyes; Orectolobiformes; Hemiscylliidae
Source: RefSeq, a predicted model, not a curated record
GUUCACUUCAGCUGAACAUAUCCGAAAAUUGGAACAAUACAGCGAAGGUUGGCAUGACCCCCGUGCAAGGGUGACAGGCAGAUCAGUGAAGCAUUUCAUACUCUU